RNAcentral lists this ribosomal RNA (478 nucleotides) under uncultured bacterium. RNAcentral describes it as "partial 16S ribosomal RNA". It matches the Rfam family "Bacterial small subunit ribosomal RNA", at positions 28 to 523 of the family's 1533-position model. The record is from RNAcentral.
GACGAACGCUGGCGGCGUGCUUAACACAUGCAAGUCGAACGGUAAGGCCCUUCGGGGUACACGAGUGGCGAACGGGUGAGUAACACGUGGGUGAUCUGCCCUGCACUUCGGGAUAAGCCUGGGAAACUGGGUCUAAUACCGGAUAGGACCCUGGGAUGCAUGUCCUGGGGUGGAAAGCUUUUGCGGUGUGGGAUGGGCCCGCGGCCUAUCAGCUUGUUGGUGGGGUGAUGGCCUACCAAGGCGACGACGGGUAGCCGGCCUGAGAGGGUGACCGGCCACAGUGGGACGGAGAUACGGCCCAGACUCCGACGGGAGGCAGCAGGGGGGAAUAUUGCACAAUGGGGGCAAGCCUGAUGCAGCGACGCCGCGUGAGGGAUGACGGCCUUCGGGUUGUAAACCUCUUUCAGCACCGACGAAGCGCAAGUGACGGUAGGUGCAGAAGAAGGACCGGCCAACUACGUGCCAGCAGCCGCCGUAA